This 253-nucleotide ribosomal RNA is filed under the name uncultured bacterium. Its description in RNAcentral is "partial 16S ribosomal RNA". It matches the Rfam family "Bacterial small subunit ribosomal RNA", at positions 524 to 776 of the family's 1533-position model. The record is from RNAcentral.
UACGUAGGGUGCGAGCGUUAAUCGGAAUUACUGGGCGUAAAGCGUGCGCAGGCGGUUUUGUAAGCCGGAUGUGAAAUCCCCGGGCUUAACCUGGGAAUGGCAUUCGGGACUGCAAGGCUGGAGUGCGGCAGAGGAGACUGGAAUUCCUGGUGUAGCAGUGAAAUGCGCAGAUAUCAGGAGGAACACCAAUUGCGAAGGCAGCUCGCUGGGACGUGACUGACGCUGAGACGCGAAAGCGUGGGGAGCAAACAGG